This 334-nucleotide unclassified non-coding RNA is filed under the name Hevea brasiliensis (rubber tree). Lineage: Eukaryota; Viridiplantae; Streptophyta; Magnoliopsida; Malpighiales; Euphorbiaceae. The record is from RNAcentral.
AACAAGCAAUAAAUCUUUUCAUGUGACUCACGCCAGCAACAGUAAAUAGAUUCCAAACAUCCGACAUUAUCUAAUACUGUUGUGUGUAGAAUAAAAACUUUGUACCAACCCAGCCACAACAACAGAAUAUCAUGACAUUGACAGGUAUGCCCUAAACCUGCUAGUUAUCUACUUAGCUUUCCAUACUACAUAUGAUCUAUAUUAUAUGACAAUAAAAAAUAGUACAGCAUCAUUCGAAUGCAAGUCAGCUCUGUUAAAGAUCAAAAUGCUGAAUGUGGAACAGCAAUUUGGCAUUUAAUCUAAUAACAUUCAUCUAUACCUCAUAUCAAACAAG